GGGGAAGGUAGCUUGCUACCGGACCUAGCGGCGGACGGGUGAGUAAUGCUUAGGAAUCUGCCUAUUAGUGGGGGACAACAUCUCGAAAGGGAUGCUAAUACCGCAUACGUCCUACGGGAGAAAGCAGGGGAUCUUCGGACCUUGCGCUAAUAGAUGAGCCUAAGUCGGAUUAGCUAGUUGGUGGGGUAAAGGCCUACCAAGGCGACGAUCUGUAGCGGGUCUGAGAGGAUGAUCCGCCACACUGGGACUGAGACACGGCCCAGACUCCUACGGGAGGCAGCAGUGGGGAAUAUUGGACAAUGGGGGGAACCCUGAUCCAGCCAUGCCGCGUGUGUGAAGAAGGCCUUAUGGUUGUAAAGCACUUUAAGCGAGGAGGAGGCUACUCUAGUUAAUACCUAGGGAUAGUGGACGUUACUCGCAGAAUAAGCACCGGCUAACUCUGUGCCAGCAGCGGGCGGGUAAUAAA
RNAcentral lists this ribosomal RNA (466 nucleotides) under Acinetobacter baumannii. RNAcentral's name for it is "bacterial SSU rRNA". It matches the Rfam family "Bacterial small subunit ribosomal RNA", at positions 68 to 527 of the family's 1533-position model. The record is from RNAcentral. Lineage: Bacteria; Pseudomonadati; Pseudomonadota; Gammaproteobacteria; Moraxellales; Moraxellaceae.